Molecule: ribosomal RNA, 754 nt
Filed under: uncultured bacterium
Lineage: Bacteria
Description: bacterial SSU rRNA
Rfam family: Bacterial small subunit ribosomal RNA
Source: RNAcentral
CUCGUAGGUGGUUUGUCGCGUUGUUCGUGAAAUGCCACAGCUUAACUGUGGGCGUGCGGGCGAUACGGGCAGACUGGAGUACUGCAGGGGAGACUGGAAUUCCUGGUGUAGCGGUGGAAUGCGUAGAUAUCGGGAGGAACACCAGUGGCGAAGGCGAUUACCUGGGGUUGAUCUGACGCUGAGGAGCGAAAGCUAGGGGAGCAAACGGGAUUAGAUACCCCGGUAGUCCUAGCCGUAAACGAUGGAUACUAGGUGUAGGGGUGGUAUCGACUCCAUCUGUGCCGCAGUUAACACAAUAAGUAUCCCGCCUGGGGAGUACGGGGCCGCAAGGGGUUAAAACUCAAAGGAAUUGACGGGGGGCCCGCACAAGCCGGUGGAGCAUGUGGUUUAAUUCGACGCAACGCGAAGAACCUUACCUGGGCUUGACAUCUGCGGAAAUCCUAUGAAAGUAGGCUUCGGGGCAACCCGACCGCAAGACAGGUGCUGCAUGGCUGUCGUCAGCUCGUGCCGUGAGGUGUUGGGUUAAGUCCCGCAACGAGCGCAACCCUUGUCGUGUGUUGGUCCACAAGAUCUCUCACACGAGACCGCCGGUGAGAAGCCGGAGGAAGGUGGGGAUGACGUCAAGUCAGCAUGGCCCUUACGUCCAGGGCUACACACGUGCUACAAUGGGCCGGACAGCGAGCCGCAAACCAGCGAUGGUAAGCCAAUCUCUUAAACCGGUCCUCAGUUCGGAUUGAAGGCUGCAACUCGCCUU